This 484-nucleotide long non-coding RNA is filed under the name Capsicum annuum. RNAcentral describes it as "long non-coding RNA (CANN_LNC015969)". Lineage: Eukaryota; Viridiplantae; Streptophyta; Magnoliopsida; Solanales; Solanaceae. The record is from RNAcentral.
UGGAUUAAUAAAGAACAGAACUAAAAAAGAAUAAUUAAUGAGAAAAAGAAAAAAAUAACAAGAGAGGGUUUAACCCCUUCUGCAGCAAGCAAAUCUAGUUGGAGCGGGGGACUAGAGGCGUCUUGGGAUUGUCUUCGAUGUCUGGAGUAGUUCGACGGCGUCAGCAACAGAGCGAGGAUGGAGACGGCGAUGCUGGCCACUGAUGGCUGACAACGUUAAUUAUAGAGAAGGUCUGGAGGUUGUAUAGGAGGCGUUGUUCGUGGAGAUAUUGGGGUUCAUUGGAAGGUCUCUGGCGUUGAGGGAGGGGUCACCAGAGUGGGUUGGUUGCAUGGCAGUGUGGGUAGCUAUUGUUGGCUACUUUAUCUUCAUCGCUGGUACACCGGAGUGGUGGACGGCGGCGAAAAAUAAAGAGGAAGAGGUGAAGGCGGCUUGAGAAGAAAGAGAAGAGAGGUAGAGAGAGAAAGUAGAGAGAGGGGGUGGAGGC